AUGUACAGUACCAGUCAAAAGUCUUAGAACACCUUCUCAUUCAAUGGUUUUUCUUUAUUUUUUACUAUUUCUACAUUGUAGAAUAAUAGUGAGACAUGAAAACAAUGAAAUAACACAUAUUAUUAUUAUUAUUAUUUUGUAUUUUUUUAACCUUUUAUUUAACUAGGCAAGUCAGUUAUUUACAGUGACGGCCUACGACUUUUACUAUAUGGCUGGUGUCAUACUUCUAGUGGUUGUGUAGUAGUCCUAGUUGCUAUCUGAGCUGGUUAACAUAUCAGACAGCUGUUUCUUUCACCUCCUUAAUAAGGGUUAGGAUCAGUUCCUGUUUACUUCCUGAAUUGACUGAAAUGAAAUGAAAUUGACCCCAACCCUGAUGUCCUCACUAUAAAGACAACAGCUGACUUCUUCUCUUGCUUCCAGUAUGUCCUGUGGUGUUGUCAGGCUCUGAGAUAUAUAUUUCCAUAUUUGUAAAUAUGUCUCUGCUCAGGUCUAGAUGGAAUGGACAGAGUACUGUAGGCAGGGGGCGGAUCACGAUCCCUGUGUUGUUAGCAGUGGUUUAAACGCCAUGACUCAGAACCUCAGAUGAAGCGUACAGCAGCAUCAUGCUGAUAUACAGUCAGUAGAUGAGUUAAGGUUUAUAGGUCAUCCUCAAACUUCCUACUGCAGGCUCUGUGUUGUACUUGUAUGUGUGUAUAUUACCCUGACUAUAGAAUAACAGCUGCUACAGUCAGACGCAAACAAGCAUGCCUGUUGUAUGCGGACGCUUCAACCCGAGCACUUCAAGGCUAGUCUGAGUGCCAGGCUGUUUUCGGCUCUCUUGCCAACUCCUUCUGGAAUGGAUACCAAUACCAAUGGAGUAGUUGGAAGGACGAACUGUUCUGGGACAAAGGCUACUUCACGGCUGGCUUUCAGAGUAAUACAGCAUCAGAUACAUGGACUACACAGAGGGCCGCUGUUCCUCUCGCUCAGAUGAUUUCUCCGGUGAGAUUCAGCCACUUGCGAAUAAACGAAAAAUGAUGAGAACACAGAGAGAGAGAGAUGAAAGAUACAUUUAAAUGUUUUUUAUUGGUCAAAUAUUUGGGGAAGCCUGGCUUCCUAUGGUAUCCAUGACUACACAUCACUGAUAGAUAGUGGCUGGGAUCUCUGCACUAUAGGUCUAGACAUGUGGAAUGUGGGAUGAGAUGAUGAUGAUGUUGAUGAAGAUGAUGUUGAGGAUGAAGGUGAUGUUCAUGAAGAUGUUGAUGAGGAUGAAGAUGUUGAGGAUGAUGAUGUUGAUGAUGAUGUUGAGAAUGAAACUGAGUGUGAAUCUGUCUGUCUGUCUGUCUGUCUGUCUGUCUGAUUUGUAACCAAUCUGAAGAUGUUCUAGUCCUAUCCCUGAUGCAUUAUGGGGACUGUAGUACAUCGUGGUAUUAUUCUAAAAUACAGUGUACAGUAGUAAUAAACGAAAGAAAAAAAGACAACAACGUGUCAAUAUACGGGCCUUUGUUUGUUUUGUUAGUUUGUUUGUGGUGUGCUGGAUAGUGCAUGCAGUACAUGCCUGUAGCUGCUGAGAAACAACAAACGUGUUAUUGUAAUGUCUUACCAUAAAAAUGAUCCGCAUCACGACA
Molecule: long non-coding RNA, 1607 nt
Filed under: Salmo salar (Atlantic salmon)
Lineage: Eukaryota; Metazoa; Chordata; Actinopteri; Salmoniformes; Salmonidae
Description: lncRNA (ENSSSAG00000083805.1)
Source: RNAcentral